GUUGAUAAAUGGCAGUUAGAAUGAGAAAAGUGCUUGUUCAUUGAACAAAGUGAUUAAAUUAUAGAUCUCAUCCAUUCACUGUAACCAUCCAGAUCCAGGACAGUAAAAGGGCUGCAAAAUAAAUCUAAGUGUUCAGAGAAAAGAUAAAGGAGGGCAGAAGAGAAAUGUACCAAGCUAAUGAAGACAAGGGUAGAAGCAUCAAACAAAUAAGGAACAAUCACACUAGACAUUCACUUAGAUUGAUCAUCCAAUAUUCUGAGAGCAGGACAAGACAACACCACCUAUACUACAACAGAAGUGCUUCA
Molecule: long non-coding RNA, 305 nt
Organism: Mauremys reevesii (Reeves's turtle)
Lineage: Eukaryota; Metazoa; Chordata; Testudines; Geoemydidae
Exons: 4
Source: RefSeq, a predicted model, not a curated record